GCCCGGGUGGCGAAAUCGGUAGACGCAGGGGACUCAAAAUCCCCCGCCGAAAGGCGUGCCGGUUCGAGUCCGGCCCCGGGCACCA
This 85-nucleotide transfer RNA is filed under the name Rubrivivax sp. RNAcentral describes it as "tRNA-Leu". It matches the Rfam family "tRNA". From Rfam's summary of the family: Transfer RNA (tRNA) molecules are approximately 80 nucleotides in length. Their secondary structure includes four short double-helical elements and three loops (D, anti-codon, and T loops). Further hydrogen bonds mediate the characteristic L-shaped molecular structure. tRNAs have two regions of fundamental functional importance: the anti-codon, which is responsible for specific mRNA codon recognition, and the 3' end, to which the tRNAs corresponding amino acid is attached (by aminoacyl-tRNA synthetases). tRNAs cope with the degeneracy of the genetic code in two manners: having more than one tRNA (with a specific anti-codon) for a particular amino acid; and 'wobble' base-pairing, i.e. permitting non-standard base-pairing at the 3rd anti-codon position. The record is from RNAcentral. Lineage: Bacteria; Pseudomonadati; Pseudomonadota; Betaproteobacteria; Burkholderiales; Sphaerotilaceae. RNAcentral also lists the same sequence under 1 other name.